This 254-nucleotide ribosomal RNA is filed under the name uncultured bacterium. Its description in RNAcentral is "partial 16S ribosomal RNA". It matches the Rfam family "Bacterial small subunit ribosomal RNA", at positions 524 to 776 of the family's 1533-position model. The record is from RNAcentral.
UACAGAGGUCUCAAGCGUUGUUCGGAUUCAUUGGGCGUAAAGAGCUCGUAGGCGGCUCAGUAAGUCGGGUGUGAAACCUCCAGGCUCAACCUGGAGACGCCACCUGAUACUGCUGUGGCUAGAGUCCGGUAGGGGAGCGUGGAAUUCCUGGUGUAGCGGUGAAAUGCGCAGAUAUCAGGAGGAACACCAGCGGCGAAGGCGGCGCUCUGGGCCGGAACUGACGCUGAGGAGCGAAAGCGUGGGUAGCAAACAGG